UACGUAGGGGGCGAGCGUUGUCCGGAAUCAUUGGGCGUAAAGGGCGUGUAGGCGGCCCUGUAAGUCGGAUGUGAAAUCCCGAAGCUCAACUUCGGAACUGCACCCGAUACUGCAGGGCUUGAGGUAGGUAGAGGAGAGUGGAAUUCCCGGUGUAGCGGUGGAAUGCGCAGAUAUCAGGAAGAACACCCGUGGCGAAAGCGGCUCUCUGGAACGGUACUGACGCUGAGACGCGAAAGCGUGGGGAGCGAACAGG
RNAcentral lists this ribosomal RNA (253 nucleotides) under uncultured bacterium. RNAcentral describes it as "partial 16S ribosomal RNA". It matches the Rfam family "Bacterial small subunit ribosomal RNA", at positions 524 to 776 of the family's 1533-position model. The record is from RNAcentral.